Molecule: ribosomal RNA, 478 nt
Filed under: Staphylococcus aureus
Lineage: Bacteria; Bacillati; Bacillota; Bacilli; Caryophanales; Staphylococcaceae
Description: partial 23S ribosomal RNA
Rfam family: Bacterial large subunit ribosomal RNA
Source: RNAcentral
AUGAGAAUUCUAAGGUGAGCGAGCGAACUCUCGUUAAGGAACUCGGCAAAAUGACCCCGUAACUUCGGGAGAAGGGGUGCUCUUUAGGGUUAACGCCCAGAAGAGCCGCAGUGAAUAGGCCCAAGCGACUGUUUAUCAAAAACACAGGUCUCUGCUAAACCGUAAGGUGAUGUAUAGGGGCUGACGCCUGCCCGGUGCUGGAAGGUUAAGAGGAGUGGUUAGCUUCUGCGAAGCUACGAAUCGAAGCCCCAGUAAACGGCGGCCGUAACUAUAACGGUCCUAAGGUAGCGAAAUUCCUUGUCGGGUAAGUUCCGACCCGCACGAAAGGCGUAACGAUUUGGGCACUGUCUCAACGAGAGACUCGGUGAAAUCAUAGUACCUGUGAAGAUGCAGGUUACCCGCGACAGGACGGAAAGACCCCGUGGAGCUUUACUGUAGCCUGAUAUUGAAAUUCGGCACAGCUUGUACAGGAUAGGUA